UAGCUAACGCGAAAGUUGACGCUCGCGAGGAGGGCCGCAGGUUAAUCAAAGGAAUUGACGGGGACCGCCCCACCCAAAGAGAUGUGGAUUAUUUGAUUCAACGCGAAAAACAAAACCUGGUCUUGACAUGUCCAGAACUUUCCAUAGAUGGAUUGGUGCCGAAAGGGAGGAGUAACACAAAGCAUGGCGUCGUCAGCUCGGUCGUGAGAUGUUGGGUUAAGUGCAACGAGCGCAACCCUCCCUUCCUUUCCAUUUAGUUGAGCACUCUAAUGGGACGCCGGUGACAAACCGGAGGAAGGUGGGGAUGACGUCAAGUCCUCAUGGCCCUUAUCCAGGGCUUCACACGUCAUACAAUGGCGGUACAGAGGGUGGAAGCCGCGAGGGGAGCCAAUCUCAUAAAACCUUUAGUAGUCCGGAUCGCAGUCUGCAACUGAUCAAGUCUGACCUAAUGAGAGUCUA
RNAcentral lists this ribosomal RNA (459 nucleotides) under Aquitalea sp. RNAcentral's name for it is "bacterial SSU rRNA". It matches the Rfam family "Bacterial small subunit ribosomal RNA", at positions 848 to 1318 of the family's 1533-position model. Lineage: Bacteria; Pseudomonadati; Pseudomonadota; Betaproteobacteria; Neisseriales; Chromobacteriaceae. The record is from RNAcentral.